Molecule: ribosomal RNA, 458 nt
Filed under: uncultured bacterium
Lineage: Bacteria
Description: partial 16S ribosomal RNA
Rfam family: Bacterial small subunit ribosomal RNA
Source: RNAcentral
CCUACGGGGGGCAGCAGUGAGGAAUAUUGGUCAAUGGGCGAGAGCCUGAACCAGCCAAGUCGCGUGAGGGAGUACUGCCUUAUGGGUUGUAAACCUCUUUUGUCGGGGAGCAAAAGCCGGACGUGUCCGGCUGUGAGAGUACCCGAAGAAAAAACAUCGGCUAACUCCGUGCCAGCAGCCGCGGUAAUACGGAGGAUGCUAGCGUUAUCCGGAUUUAUUGGGUUUAAAGGGUGCGCAGGCGGAUUUUUAAGUCAGCGGUAAAAUCGUGGUGAUCAACCCCAUCCAGCCGUUGAAACUGGGGAUCUAGAGUGUGCGAGAGGUAUGCGGAAUGCGUUGUGUAGCGGUGAAAUGCAUAGAUAUCACGCAGAACCCCGAUUGCGAAGGCAGCAUACCGGUGCACAACUGACGCUCAGGCACGAAAGCGUGGGUAUCGAACAGGAUUAGAUACCCGAGUAGUC